UCGUCUAGUCAGGGAAGCGAAAUUUCAGUAACAAAAUGCUACUUUAACAAGCGAAUUUAUCACUGAUAUUUGACGAAAGGAUACGGUCCAAUUCGUAACUGUGAGUAUCCGUUGUUAUUAAUAUGGGCGUCGGCUCAUCCUGGCAACAGGAACGACCAUAAAGAAGCGUCGAGAGAUAUCGGAAGAGUUUUCUUUUCUGUUUUAUAGCAUACUACCAUGGAAGUCUUUCGCAGAGAGAUAUGGUAGAUGGGCUCGAUAUUUUCUCCUCGGACCUUGAAAAUUUAUGGUGGGGACACGCAAACUUCUCAACAGGCCGUACCAAUAUCCGCAGCUGGUAUCCAAGGUGAAGAGUCUCUAGUCGAUAGAAUAAUGUAGGUAAGGGAAGUCGGCAAAUUGGAUCCGUAACUUCGGGAUAAGGAUUGGCUCUGAAGAUUGAGAUAGUCGGGCUUGAUUGGGAAACAAUAACAUGGUUUAUGUGCUCGUUCUGGGUAAAUAGAGUUUCUAGCAUUUAUGUUAGUUACGUGUUCCCCGGAUAGUUUAGUUACGUAGCCAAUUGUGGAACUUUCUUGCUAAAAUUUUUAAGAAUACUAUUUGGGUUAAACCAAUUAGUUCUUAUCAAUUAUAACGAUUAUCAAUUAACAAUCAAUUCAGAACUGGCACGGACUUGGGGAAUCCGACUGUCUAAUUAAAACAAAGCAUUGUGAUGGCCCUAGCGGGUGUUGACACAAUGUGAUUUCUGCCCAGUGCUCUGAAUGUCAAAGUGAAGAAAUUCAAGUAAGCGCGGGUCAACGGCGGGAGUCAAUGCCUCGUCAUCUAAUUAGUGACGCGCAUGAAUGUAUUAACGAGAUUCCUACUGUCCCUAUCUACUAUCUAGCGAAACCACAGCCAAGGGAACGGGCUUGGAAUAAUUAGCGGGGAAAGAAGACCCUUUUGAGGUUGACUCUAAUCUGGCAGUGUAAGGAGACAUAAGAGGUGUAGAAUAAGUGGGAGAUAUUAGACCUCGGUUUGGUAUCGUCAAUGAAAUACCACUACUCUUAUUGUUUCCUUACUUACUUGAUUAAAUGGAACGUGUAUCAUUUCCUAGCCAUUAUACGGAUAUAUUUAUUAUAUCUUAUGGUAUUGGGUUUUGAUGCAAGCUUCUUGAUCAAAGUAUCACGAGUUUGUUAUAUAAUCGCAAACAAAUUCUUUAAUAAAACGAUGCAUUUAUGUAUUUUUGAUUUGAAAAUUUGGUAUAACUCCAAUUACUCAGGUAUGAUCCAAUUCAAGGACAUUGCCAGGUAGGGAGUUUGACUGGGGCGGUACAUCUCUCAAAUAAUAACGGAGGUGUCCCAAGGCCAGCUCAGUGCGGACAGAAACCACACAUAGAGCAAAAGGGCAAAUGCUGACUUGAUCUCGGUGUUCAGUACACACAGGGACAGCAAAAGCUCGGCCUAUCGAUCCUUUUGGUUUAAAGAGUUUUUAACAAGAGCAAACGGAAUAUUAGUGCGUUUGUCUUUUUUUUUUGG
RNAcentral lists this ribosomal RNA (1505 nucleotides) under Drosophila simulans. RNAcentral's name for it is "eukaryotic LSU rRNA". It matches the Rfam family "Eukaryotic large subunit ribosomal RNA", at positions 1552 to 2796 of the family's 3401-position model. The record is from RNAcentral. Lineage: Eukaryota; Metazoa; Arthropoda; Insecta; Diptera; Drosophilidae.